UUUAAGGUCUAACCCACUGACAUAAAAAGCUAACUCACAACCCCUGCUAACCAAAACCACGACCGGUUUCCCAAAACCGAUUACCAAAUAAACCGGAAGUCCCAAAAACUGCGCCGGAACUUUCUCGUCGCUCCCCCGUCGUUUCCGAACCCUCAAAACGACGCGGGUGACCAGCCAACCAGGCUCAGCGACGCCACAAUCAGCCACGACGCACCGUCGGAUGAAAUCCGAACCGAAACCGCGUUCUAUCGGCAGAUUUCGCCGAAAAACGCUCCGGAAAUCAGUUUUCGAUUUCCGCAAAGGCUUGGGGCCUUGGACGAU
Molecule: long non-coding RNA, 321 nt
Filed under: Ananas comosus (pineapple)
Lineage: Eukaryota; Viridiplantae; Streptophyta; Magnoliopsida; Poales; Bromeliaceae
Description: long non-coding RNA (ACOM_LNC038001)
Source: RNAcentral